CAAUCAAUCAAAUUGAUUGCUGCUCUGUGUCAUGCAUGUCAACAAAAUCGUAAAAAAUCCACUGUGCAGUAACUCGUAGGAAUUAUUAACGUGUAGAUUAAAAUCAAAUUCUCGUGAAGUGCGCAUAAUGUAUAAUAAUUGAACAAUUUCUCAAUGAACUCUCAUAGUUGGUGUACCUAAUGGCUAUAUUUGAAAAACCAUCUCAAACCAAGUCUGUUGUAGAUGACACCGAAAAACUAAUCUGUACUGUUGAAAAUGCACAAAAUAUCAACAAACACACAGAAUAUAUCUUACGAGUGCAGCGAGGUCCUAGCAAGGAGAACACUUGGCAUGUGUCCAGAAGGUACAGAGAUUUUGCAGCACUCCAUUCCAGCCUUCAGCAGGCCAACAUUGACUUGCCUUUACCACCAAAGAAACUUAUUGGGAACAUGCAACCAUCUUUUAUUGCUGAAAGGCAAAUAGCAUUACAGAACUAUAUUGAUGAGGUGUUAAAGCGUGAGGUGCUGGCUUUGACACUACAAGUGAGAAGUUUUUUGGACCCCAGCAACUAUUCGCUGGCCAUAGCAGAGCAAGCGCUACAAAGCGUGUCAAUUGCGCUCCGAGGCGAUGGCCGGUAUGAAUUGAAAGGACCUCUCAAUGGCAUCGGCUGGAGGCCACGAAAACACUACUUUUUAGUCACUGACAUAGAAAAUCGAUCAAAUUGCAUACUGUCCUGGCAGACCUACGGGCCUGAUAGAGCACUGAGCGACAAAGACUUGCAGACUGCAUUCAAGAGCUUACAAAGUAUUAGUCAUCCUUACAUAGAUGAUAUAUUAGCAAUUCACAAUUUAGAAACGGGUGCCUAUGUAGUUAGGAAAAUACACGAAACAGGUAGCCUGAGAGAUAUUCUCUAUGGAACUGACUACUCUAAAAAUUACUUAGCCAAAUAUGGAAAUCCCAAAGUGAGGAAGCCUUUCACGAUAGGACAGAUUGCGCAUUAUGGGUAUCAAAUUCUGCAAGCCUUGAAGUUUCUGCAUGAAAAAGGACUUCCACAUGGUCACUUGCACCCCGGAAACAUAGCAAUAGACAACCAAAAGGCAAUGCUAAUGGACGUAGAGAACGGUCUGAUAGGCGCGUCCUGUUUCUACCGCUCGCAUCUAAGGCAGCGGCGGCGAGCGUGCUCAGCAGAAGCGGUGGACGUCCAUUGCUUCGCGCUCACGCUGUAUGAGAUGGCGUUUGGGGAGCCGUUAACGGAGCCCUACAAAGACACCUACCCUGCCGGCACUGAUGAAGGAUUAGAAUCAGUCCUCCGCUUAUGCCUGUCGCGAUCGGCGAGUAAAUACGGCGCGCUGUCAGUAGAAGAGUUACUUUGCCAGCCGUUGUUUGCGCGCGCGCCGCUCAAUGGCUUCCUUGCGCCGGAUCACGACCGCGCGCAUUUGAAGUUUCCGCUCGCGUUGAAGGAUGAGAUUAGGAAGGCUGUGGAGCUGGUGGAGGCCAGGCUUAAGACUGAACAGAAACUGGACCGAAGUACGAAGAGAGAAGUGCGUAUCCAAGAAAUUCUUAAUUCUGAGGAAGAAAUGAAGAAACAGAAAAGACGAGCGAAGAAGCGUGACAGCGUGUGGAAGUCUACGUCCUCGUUAGCAGAGACAGUCCGCUCGCACAGCGCCAGCACCGCGUCGUCGCCCACGCCGCCCGCGCUCAGUGCAGAGCCCCAAAACAACGGUCACAGCUCGGCAGCGACAAGCCCGAGCGCGUCCAACGGGCGCUCCGCUUUACUGGAUGCCAUCUGCGGCUUCGACAAGUCGCGGCUGGCGCGCGCGCCGCGGUGAGAGGCGGCCGCGCUGGCGCACCGCCUCGCCAGGGCGCUGCGCUCGGCCUCCAUGUAUGGGCUGCGCGACUCCGACGUUGAUCCUUUGCUGUAGUGUUGACGGGUAAUCGAUUAAUAAUCGGGGUAGGCGGGGCCUAAACUAAAAAAAUCUAUUAUUAGGUAUACUGUCGUAAAACUAAGAUUGAUAUCUACUUCAUCGAUACUAUCAAUAGCCUAUUGCGUCAGCCGGUCGCCCCACUUUAGCCUAGGCGCAGACCGACCACCAACUUUUAGUUGGCCGAUAGUUGGGCCCGAUUCUAAUGAAGAAUCAGCCAAUAAUAAAUCAGUGUAAUGUGCGCACUUUCAUACAUCUCCAUACUGAUUAACAGCCCGACCCAACUAUUGGCCAACUAAUGGCGCAAUUUCACUAGUCGAUAGGGUCCGCAUGCGGUGUGCGAGUUUUCUGGAACGCGUGCCACAGGGCCCGCAAUCUAGGUGCGAAGUUUACUAAAAAAUAGAAACAGGCAUGGCGCGUCUGAAAAUCUGAAUGAUGAAUUUCAUUGGUCGAUAGCACGGUCGGUAUAAUGCAUGCGGGGAGUCCCCGCAUGCUGUAUACUGAACCAGUUAUCGACUAAUGAAAAUGCGCCAUAAAAGUCGGUGGUCUGCGCCUUGGCUUACUGGAUAGGUACCAUCUGCGGCUUCGACAAGUCGCGGCUGUGAGAGGCGGCCGCGCUGGCGCACCGCCUCGCCAGGGCGCUGCGCUCGGCCUCCAUGUAUGGGCUGCGUGACUCCGACGUUGACCCACUGCUGUAGUAACCCCUAUAGUGUAUCGAUUAUUAAUCGAUAGUGUCGAAUUAGUUAUAUCUUUCACGAAUGACAAUUACAUCGAUCUCUACGCGUCGUUAAUAUCCUCUUCAAGAAUUUAUGUCAUCGGUAGUCCCUAUUUCACGAAUACAUCGAUUUAAUGUCCAUAGUAUCGUCUCAAUUGAAGUAUCUAUUAAUCGAUGAUAGUCACCUGGAUAUCUUCGACCAAAGGAAGCAUACAUUUAAGAAACAUGUCAAGGAUGCCCUCAGCCAAGCUACCCAUGACUCGUCAUAAAUAAUGUUGAGGAACUCUUUGUUUUGUUUUGUUUACUCUGCAGUUUAUUAACACUUUCCGAUUUAUUUACCUAUAUAUACAAUAUAUGUGUACCUAAUGCAUGUAUAACAAAUCUGUGAAAACAUAUUUAGGGUUACAUUUUAGUCUAUAUCUACAUUUAAGUAUUAUUUAAACCAUGUAAAGAAUGUAAUCUGUUUUGUUUUCCAAAUAAAUAAAAUUAAAAUUAAAUUAAAUCGAUAGUCCUAACAACUCUACUUUGACAAGUCGCGUCUAGCGCAUCGCCUCACGCGAAUGCUCCGCUUCGCUUUAAUGUAUGCGGUGGUGAGCGAAUCGGAGGUUGACCCUUUACUGUAGAAUUCCCGGACCAUCGAUCGCAUCGAUUUUAAUCGGGGCAAAUAUGGCCUAAAAUAACUAUGUAAUUAAUUCUGACGUAAAACUAAUAUCGAUGUCUAUUUUAUCGAUACUAUCAAUAGGGGGGCAUAAAGGAUUUCGCAACACUACCUUGCUAUGAGUUAGAGAAACAAGUCUACCAUAAUUAAAUGAUCAAACGAACUUACCAAGUGAAGUUCGAUCUAAAUUAUCCUGUUUUCGCCGAAGAGAUU
Ostrinia furnacalis (Asian corn borer) is the source of this 3487-nucleotide RNA transcript. It is a transcript of the gene named PX domain-containing protein kinase-like protein, with no coding region annotated. The record is from RefSeq and is a predicted model, not a curated record. Lineage: Eukaryota; Metazoa; Arthropoda; Insecta; Lepidoptera; Crambidae. The transcript is spliced from 12 exons.